This 109-nucleotide ribosomal RNA is filed under the name Petromyzon marinus (sea lamprey). Lineage: Eukaryota; Metazoa; Chordata; Hyperoartia; Petromyzontiformes; Petromyzontidae. The record is from RNAcentral.
UUUUUUGACCACAUCACAUUGAAUGCGCCCGAUUUCGGAAGUUACGCUGAAUCGAGUCUGGUUAGUAGUCGGAUGGAAGAUUGCCUGGGAAUAAUAGCUGUUGCAGACA